AAUAAUGAACUCCCUCUCCAAACCCGCUCUAUUUUCUCUCUCCUCCAUUUUAGUAUCAACUAGACAGAGCCUUUGAUCAAAUUCGCUGUGUUCUGAAUUCUGAUACAGAGAGUCCAAGAUUGGAAUUGCGAAUUGCGAAUUGCGAGUGUGUAACCACCAAUUAAGAACCAAACCCUAACCCUAACCCUAUCAACACCAUGAGAGACCAACAAGCUGAGACGAAGAAGAAGAAGAAGAAGAGCGAUGAAUUUGAGUUCUGCAAGGUUUGCAAGCUCAAUCACGACCAAGGAAAUCGCCAUAAGUACUUCCCCAACCACGCCAAGUCUCUCUCCUCCUUCCUCUCUUGCUUCCAGAACAAGCUCUCUGACGUUCUCUUCUUCCUAAAAAACCCUACCCCUCUUCGGCCCGAACACGCCUCUCGCAAUCGACUCUGGUGCGUCUUCUGCGAUUCUGACAUCCACGAGCUCGGUAGCUCUUUUUCCUGUGGUAAUGCAAUCAAUCAUCUGGCGGGUGAUGACCAUUUGAAGAAUUUAAAGAGUUUUCUAUGGAAGCACGGUGGUGGGAUGGAUCGAGUGAAUUCCUUUAGGGUUUCUGAGGCAGAUCUAGCCAAGUGGGAGAGAAAGUGCAAAUCAUUGAAAAGUGAAGCUGCCAAUGAAGGACCAUACAGACCUUUAAUUGGGCCUUCAAAUGAUAUCCACAAUGAACUGAACUCUGAAUGUAUAGAUAGUUUUGACAAAAAUACUAAUCACUUUCUUAAAUCAACUUUUUCUAAUGGUGUUAUGCCUUUACAAAACUAUACGAAUGAGAGAUAUCAGGUUUCCCAUUCAGAAUUAUCUGAAGUCACUGAGUUUGGCCCUCGUCUACAUGAUGCUAAUUCAUAUCUGCCUGUGGGUACACAAUUCAAUACAAAUCCAAGGGGUUUGAAGGAUUUAACAGGUUACAUGGAUAACCAACAGUCUUUUGUUUGUAAUGGUGGAAAAUGGCCGGCCAAUGGCUAUCCCAGUAAUGGAGGUAUGUACCAGGGACAUCCGGAUGAAAGAAUGGUUAAUAGAGAGAGCAGUUCUCAGGGUUUACAGAAUCUUACUCAAAUUUCUUGUAUGGUUCAAGAAUCAGCUAAAGGAAAUGUUCAUUCUGGGGCACCUCCUCCCUGGUUUGAUGCAACGGAAGAAAAUCUACUAAAUGUUAGACUAAAACCAGGAUUAGGAUCAGGUAACCCUGUUUCUUCUCCCAACAAGUCAGGGAAGUCCCAGAAAUUGAAUCCAAAACGGGUGGGAGCUGCAUGGGCUGAGAAGAGAAAGCAUGAGCUCGAGAUGGAGGAGAGAGGAGAGAUUGUUACUGAUAAUUUUGAAGUUAACUGGCUCCCUAAUUUUGGUAGAGUUUGGCAAUCUGGUAGCAGAAAAGAAUCUAGAAAAGAAUUUGAGGUGGAAAAUAAAAAGUCACUCGAGGCUGAAACAGAAACAGAAACAGAGACAUUGAUCAAGAUACAGCCGUAUGUUAGCAAACGAAUGCGAACAGAUGCAAGUAAAUGAUGCUUGAUGGGUUUGGUCACUUUGGUGAUGGUGAUGUCCCGAGGAUGUUUGUUGAUGUUGAAUUGUAGAUGAGGUGGCUAGAAUUUUGUUAUGAAGGGCAAUAUCAUGCUUGAUGGGUUCAUUUUUGUCUGACUAAAUGUCACUCAUUUCAAUCCUUAUUGUACAUAAAGUCAGCAGAAUCACCAGAAACUAUAUAUGAUAAAUCAAUUUCCCUUUCGAAGAAACCAAGUUCUCGUCGCACAGAAACUCCCAAGCAAACCACUUCUCUAUCAUCCGAUCUACGUCAUGAACCACCACGUCAGUCAUAUUCCCAGCUCUAGCUAUCACACUAGCUGUGUAGAUUGCAGUCAUUCUGCCCGGUGCAUCUGGUGUAUCCCCACUUGGUCCGUCCACCACCACCACGUCCCAUUGCUGCUUGUAUACCUCCCUCGGUAACUUCCUCAAAGCUAAGGGGCAACUAGAUUUUUUGAGUGACCCUGAGUGCAGUGCACAACCCAGGCUUUGCCUCGCAUGCUUGAGCAGCUUGUACGCAUCUCUGGCAAGCGUCCGGUACUCGACCCUGUAAAUCUGAGUAUUGUUGUGAUUUGUUUUGAUUGUGGCCAGUUUCUCAGGAUUGUCCUCUAGGAAAACAGUGGUGCCACCUGCGUUGAUUGAUGACGAGAGGUUGAGGUAUUGUGGUUCAAACCCAAAAAUGAGGAGGUUGCAGGGGGCUCUGGCGGAAAUAAUGUUCAACAAAAGGCGGUAUUCUUUCUCGGUGAGGGUGGCGUCACUGGCAGAGGAGACGGGUUGGCUCUUUGAUGCCUUCUUGAACCCCGCCGGAGUAGGAGAGGAACACUUGUGUAGAUGUGUUGGAGGCAAAGCAAGAGGAGGAGAAGAAAAUGAAGUAAAGACAAAGAUUUUGAGGAGUCUGAGAAUGGACAUGCCGGAAAGUAAGAAAAGAAGAACCGGAAUAAGCUUCUUUUUGGGGACUAUCGUCUUCUUCGUUCCUCGGCUGAGAGGUAGCAAUUGAACCAAGGGUGUGACAUUAGGAUGACAUUGUGAUACCUGUGGAGGCAUUUUUGCAGUUUCUUGAGAUAACAUCCUGAUUCAAGGGUAGCGGGGCUUUUGAUUUAGUAGGUUGUUACUUAAAUGGGGAUUAGACCUUUCUUGAGUAAGGAAAAAGGAAUGGGUUUUUGCUUUGGUUUCAAGUGUCGCUUUUUUCUUUCAUUGAGUUAGUCAGUUGUCACCUAAUUUGCUACAGCUAGAAACAACCUGCCUGAGAAUAUGCAUUCAGAAAGAAUAGCGAAAGGUUGGUGAACUAAAUCAUCGGGACUGAUCUUCUGCCAUAAAUGUCCAAAUUUUUAAAGUUAAAUUA
Molecule: RNA transcript, 2883 nt
Organism: Camellia sinensis
Lineage: Eukaryota; Viridiplantae; Streptophyta; Magnoliopsida; Ericales; Theaceae
Gene: TTL
Gene name: coiled coil protein
Source: RefSeq, a predicted model, not a curated record